Molecule: ribosomal RNA, 305 nt
Filed under: uncultured bacterium
Lineage: Bacteria
Description: bacterial SSU rRNA
Rfam family: Bacterial small subunit ribosomal RNA
Source: RNAcentral
AGCCCACGGGGCGCAGCAGUAGGGAAUAUUGCUCAAUGGGGGAAACCCUGAAGCAGCAACGCCGCGUGGAGGGUGAAGGUUUUCGGAUUGUAAACUCCUUUUGUUAGAGAAGAUAAUGACGGUAUCUAACGAAUAAGCACCGGCUAACUCCGUGCCAGCAGCCGCGGUAAUACGGAGGGUGCAAGCGUUACUCGGAAUCACUGGGCGUAAAGAGCGCGUAGGCGGGAUAGCAAGUCAGAUGUGAAAUCCUAUGGCUUAACCAUAGAACUGCAUUUGAAACUGUAUUUCUUGAGUGCUGGAGAGGC